Eriocheir sinensis (Chinese mitten crab) is the source of this 471-nucleotide long non-coding RNA. RefSeq lists it as uncharacterized. Lineage: Eukaryota; Metazoa; Arthropoda; Malacostraca; Decapoda; Varunidae. The record is from RefSeq and is a predicted model, not a curated record. The transcript has 4 exons.
UUGCAUUUUUUUUGUUGAAUAGAAUAUCGCAUGGCGCCUGUUGAGAAAGUCAGGGCCAAAUUAGUCUUAUGUAAACAGUACUAAACAACACUUGGACUGUUACCGCGACGCCAUCAGGACAUGUUCGUCGGCCAGGGGACUCAGGGAGACACUUUUCUAAUAAUCAGCGGUGCAGCGUGAAGACAGAGAAACACCCAGCUGUGCUCACCAGUCUGUACGCGGCCCUCCGAUCAGUACGCAUCACAGGAGGGACACUGGUCUGGAAAAUGGAGCUGAGGCCCUCGUGUGCUGGCAGCCCCUCGUGCGGCGAAGGUGUGCGUGGGGCGGGGGUCGAGGCCGCGGGGUGGAGGGGAGGAGCACCACCAGCCACCGCGUCUCCAUCCCAAGGGCGUCAAGGGAGCCGUGGCCUGACCUCUACGUGUGCCUCGCCCGCCUUAGAAGUGAUGCCUCAACGUUCCUUCAUCGCUUCGG